GCCAGGUGCGGUGGUGCAUGCCUGUAAUCCCAAUGGCUUGGGAGGCUGAGACAGGAGGAUGGAGAGUUCAAAGUCAUCCUCAGCAACAGCGAGGCAUUAAGCAACUCAGUGAGACCCUGUCUCUA
RNAcentral lists this small RNA (125 nucleotides) under Marmota monax (woodchuck). Lineage: Eukaryota; Metazoa; Chordata; Mammalia; Rodentia; Sciuridae. The record is from RNAcentral.